ACCUGACUGGCUCAGUCAGUAGAGCAUCUGACUUGAUCGCAGGGUUGUGAGUUUGACCCCCAUGUUAGGUG
Molecule: transfer RNA, 71 nt
Filed under: Felis catus (domestic cat)
Lineage: Eukaryota; Metazoa; Chordata; Mammalia; Carnivora; Felidae
Rfam family: tRNA
About the family: Transfer RNA (tRNA) molecules are approximately 80 nucleotides in length.
Source: Rfam by way of RNAcentral